UUCGCCGAAGACCCCCAUGCCAGCUGCUUAAAAAUCCCAGGCUGGCAGCACCGAGUCCCAGUUGCACGUUAUAUUUUGAAGAGUGGAGGUGAGGCCCCCCUUCUUCCCCGGCUGGGGCCUAGUGCACAGCAGGUGUGAGUGAGUCCUUCGGAUCACCGCGCAACAUAGGCAUGGGAUGCAGAGGACACUGGCUGAGUAAAGGAAGCAGUGCACAGCUGACAGCUUUGGAGAAGUCACGACUGAAGGCUGCCUGAAGAGGCUAUCGAGUGACCCAUUAAGGGGGACAGCCUCAGAAAUCCAGGCAACUGGCAGCAGGUCAACAUAGCCUGUUAGCAUAAGCUGAUGGUCACUAAGCAUCAGCAUCUGUCAACGCACACGCCACCACUUCCAAGAACUCUGACUUUCUUGUGACAUGUAUGUACUCUCUCUCUCUCUCACACUCACUCACACACACACACACACACUCAGGCAAGCACCCACAGACAGGCAUAUGCACAGAUACGCUCGUAUUUACCAGUUAAUGGACACGAUCUUUAGCUCGUCAAAUUGCCCCAGACUAACUGGAUUCUGUGGUCUUUUGUUUGCACUUCUAUAACCUGUCCCUCAGUGUUGCAGAGGGGUAUUUACAGGCAGAUAAACAGUGAACCUGGACACAUGGGAUUGGUUGGGAGCAUGGGGGCUGGUGCUGGAGAAGGACCAGGACUCUUGGUACCAUUGGACAGCCCUAGUUCGUUGGAGUUAGCUGUAGAACUGACACCUGGUUUGCACUUUGCUCAGCUCCGUGGAGACAGCUUCUUUCCUAUGGACUCCAAGCCAGGAUCCACAGGUUGGAUAUAGGACAUAGAGGAGGCGCUGCCAGCACACCGGAUGGAAGGAACUCCAGCCUAGGGAGCUGCCAUCUGCUUCUUGUCAGGUUGUUGUGAGCGUCUGUUCCUGGCUGCCUGCUGACGGAGGUUGCUGGAUCCCAGCAUGAGAACGUUGUUAUGAUAGAUGGUGUGUUUACCGCUUUUCAUCCCUGCUCAGGAUUGCACAGGAUGUUAGUGCUUUUCUGGGUCUGGUCUCUCGCCCUCCCCCACUGUCCUUUUGCUCUCUCCACCCACCUCUUUCCCCCUCCCUACCUCCCGCCUCCAGUGCUCUCUGUUGCUACCAUCUAUGGUUCUGAUCUAUGCACGCAGGCCUCAUGGGAUUCCUUCCUGAAACACCUCUGCCCGUGGGGUUGGCCUCUCCUCCAUGCGAGUCAGGCCGCACAAGUCAGCUCCAGGGGGGACAGAUGGGAUCAGCGUUGGCUCCUAAGCAGGUGUUGGCCAGCUGUGCAGCCUCUGUCAUGAUCAAGAUGCGCUGUUGCUUCAUUCAAGGAUGAGGAUCAGAGAGGCUGGUUUAACUUCCAUUAACUCUUUGAUGCCUGAGCCUUUCCCAGCUGGCACGUGUCCAGGGAUGGGGAACGUGCGGGGAAGGGGGUUGAAUUUGCUGACAUGGGAGACCCAAUGCCCUGGCCCUACCAGUAGCCAGAGGCAUUCUCCCUGCUGCUGACUUUGCAGAUAUCUCACUGUGAGUUCUGGCUGGAAGAGCCCAGUAGCCCAGGGAUACCAUACAGACAUCAAUAGUGCCCCAGUAACACCUCCCCUGAGCUCUUGGCAACUCUGCCCAGGGAAGAGCUCCAGCAACACCCCUCAAUCCAUCCCCACAUCUGCUGCAAAUCCCGGGGCCCAGAAAUCCACCUCUGUCGGCUCUCCUGCUUGGUCCGAUGGGCGCAGUCUCCUCCCAGUGGCCCCCAGCAGCAGGGACGGUCCAGCUGGCAUGCUGGGCGGGCCCUCGCCUCCAACCCAUGCAGCCCCCGCUGCACGCAGCACUUUGGGAAAUGCAAUGCAAACAGUUUAUGCUGGGAUCAGCUCUCCUCAUAAACACACUGAGAUGCUUCCAGUUGCCUGAACAGCCCCCAGGCAGGGCUCAGGGCCUGUCCUGCUCUUUGUCCACAGCAGAAGGGCUGAUUAAUGGGCUUCCUUCCGGAGGAAACCGCAGUCCUGCCCACUCCCACUCCCUGUCCCCACAGCAGGACUCCCAGGGCCACCCAGUCGUCUGCAGCCAUGUUUAGUGCAGG
Mauremys reevesii (Reeves's turtle) is the source of this 2098-nucleotide long non-coding RNA. RefSeq lists it as uncharacterized. The transcript is spliced from 3 exons. Lineage: Eukaryota; Metazoa; Chordata; Testudines; Geoemydidae. The record is from RefSeq and is a predicted model, not a curated record.